This 496-nucleotide ribosomal RNA is filed under the name uncultured bacterium. RNAcentral describes it as "partial 16S ribosomal RNA". It matches the Rfam family "Bacterial small subunit ribosomal RNA", at positions 28 to 507 of the family's 1533-position model. The record is from RNAcentral.
GAUGAACGCUGGCGGCGUGCCUAAUACAUGCAAGUCGAGCGAACAAACGAGGAGCUUGCUCCUCUGACGUUAGCGGCGGACGGGUGAGUAACACGUGGAUAACCUACCUAUAAGACUGGGAUAACUUCGGGAAACCGGAGCUAAUACCGGAUAAUAUAUUGAACCGCAUGGUUCAAUAGUGAAAGACGGUUUUGCUGUCACUUAUAGAUGGAUCCGCGCCGCAUUAGCUAGUUGGUAAGGUAACGGCUUACCAAGGCAACGAUGCGUAGCCGACCUGAGAGGGUGAUCGGCCACACUGGAACUGAGACACGGUCCAACUCCUACGGGAGGCAGCAGUAGGGAAUCUUCCGCAGUGGGCGAAAGCUUGACGGAGCAACGCCGCGUGAGUGAUGAAGGUCUUCGGAUCGUAAAACUCUGUUAUUAGGGAAGAACAAAUGUGUAAGUAACUAUGCACGUCUUGACGGUACCUAAUCAGAAAGCCACGGCUAACUACGUG